GAGUUGUACUAUUAUGUGAUGGACCGACACAUGUGACUUAGUUUAACCAUAUACUUUUUGUAAUGAGCUGUUUUGUUGGAUUUGAAUGAUUUGGAGAAGAAUAUUAAAUAGAGAUCAAAUCAAAGUGAAUAAAAGGAGGAGAGGACAGGUGUGGAGAGAGAUUGAGAAGUUUUAGAAAUGAUUGAGGAGGUGUCAACCAGUAACAGGGAAGACAACGUGGAGGUUGCAGACGGCGCACGUUUCUAUUUCUUUUUUCAACUUCUACACGCUUCUCUGCUCCUCUUUGGGCUCUCUCUGUCUCUCUUUGGGCCAUGUGUGUGUGUUUCAUGAAGAGACUAGAGAGUGUACUCAAGCUGGUAUUUGAGUGAUCUGUUGGGGGAGCUAACGAACACGGCAGUUGACAUGUGAAGUGACAGA
This is a long non-coding RNA of Brassica napus (rape), 417 nucleotides long. RefSeq lists it as uncharacterized. The record is from RefSeq and is a predicted model, not a curated record. NCBI's taxonomy places the organism in Eukaryota, Viridiplantae, Streptophyta, Magnoliopsida, Brassicales, Brassicaceae. The transcript is spliced from 2 exons.